UCUCUUUCUUUUCUUCUUCUUCUCGUUUCUUCUUCUCUUUCCUUUCUCUCAUGUUCUUCUUCUUCUCUUUUCUUCCCCUCCUGUUCUUCUUCUUCUGCGAAUCUGAGAGAUGAGUUUGAGAAUCUAUUCGAGAGAAUCAUUUGAUGAGGGAGAUGACGAGAAUUUAAAUCAUAAAGGAGAACAAGUACGGAUUUUUAGGGUUCCUGUUUGAAGUGUUGAAUCAGUGGAGAAUUGAAGAAAUUAGAGUUUAUAUAUUCGAUUGAUGUUCUGAAUAUCUAGAAGAUGAAUAUGGAGCUAUGGUUAGAUUGAGAACAAUGGGUAGAUGUUUAAAUGAAGUAUUGAAGUUGAUUCGGUGAUGAAUUGAAGAAAUCAGUAAUUUAGGGUUUCGACUUUGGGGAUUCUGACUGGAGGUCAACAAGGAGAAAUUAAAGGAUCGAGUUUGAAUGAUUCGCGGAUUUGAAUUGAUGUUGCGGAUUAGAAUUAGGAAAAAGAGGAUUGAGAAUUAUUUUAGGGUCUUCUAAGGACUAGUGUUGCUGAUGAAAGAUAGGGAUCGAUUGUGUCAGUAAGAAGGUGUUAAAGCUAUUGUUGGUGUUGAUUCAAGACUUGGGAAGAAAGGGUAAAUCGGGUUUAAGAUUUCAGAAUUCAUUUAUUCUUAAGUUGUGUGUAGUUGAGAUUGAAGUUCCUUGGUUGGGUAUGCUGUGUAUGGAUUAGUUUGGUCUCUUAAUGAAAUUACUGAGAUGAUUUUAGUUGUGGUGGUGAUGAUGUUGAUGUUACAGGGGAGGAGAUGUGUACUGGUGGUGGUUAUGUAAUUGUUAUCUUAAUUCUGAAUUGAAGUAUGUUUUUGUGGAUGUUGAUAAUUCUAGGACGUUUAGAUGGCAAUGAAUUAAGUUCAAGGAGGGUGUUGCCGCUGAUGUUGUUAUGGUGUGGAUGAGUGUGUGAUCUCAAGAGACGGGUAUGAGUAACUGUGGUUAAUGGAUCGAGUAUGAUCUCAAUUGAAGUUGCAGUAUGAUUGAAUUACAGGUUCAGUUGACUGGACUGUAUUUGUUUGAACUGGUAUUGAGAUUGCAUGUGUCGUGAAUAGAGUUGGCGGUGAACUGUGUAGCUGUAGGUAGAACUGUAACUCUUGGAAGGUGGUGUUUGUAUAGUAAGUGAAUUGAAAUGUCAUAUGUAGUGUGGUUGAUGUUGAUAACAGGGGUUGGCAGUGUCUAGAAUGGAUUGAAGUUCCUUUAGAUGAAUGUUAGGACUUCGCAGAGACUCAAAUGAAGAUGUAAGUGAGAGGAUAUUGAGACAUAAGCUUGUUCUAGGUGUUGGUGUUGAUGAUGUUGAACUGGUGGAAAUGAGAUGUUAGGAUUAUAGUUAAUCUCAGCUGAAGUUUGUAUGUGCAGAUAACAAAUUCCGUAAGAAGAGUUAGACCUGCAGUUAAGAGUUUAGGUAGAUAUGAAGGUCAUGGUGUUGUCUGGUGAGGGUUUUAUGUGCUAGUGUAGGAUGAAAUGAUUCAAGUUGAAUGAGAUGUUAUGUGACUGAAGUUUUAGAAAGAGAGUUAAUGAAUGUGUUGAGAUGAUCUGAGUUGGCUGAAAGCUGCAAUUGCAGUUAGUCUUUAUUAACAACGAUCGAUUCAAAGGAUGAACCAGUGGAUCGUGUAUCUCGAGGUAGGCGUGGCUUGUCAUCAAAAGAGGUACAAGCUAUGGAGAUAGGGGAUGCAACACAAAAUCUCUAGAUCCUGAACAAGCUGAAGCUUUGGCAAAAGCUCUAUUAUAAAGUGGGCCAAGGAAAAAGGUGUCACAAAGCUUCACUUAGAUGGAGAUAGCCAAAGAGUGGUGAAAGCAAUUAAUGGAACCAAAGGAGCAGUAAUCUGGAUCAAUGCAGGCAUAAUAGGAGAUUCGAUUUUUCUUUCAAAAGAUUUCACCACAUGGAAAUGUAGUUUUGUCCAUCGUGAAGGAAAUAAUGUCGCAGAUACAAUUGUAAAAAAAACUUUAUCUUUUUCUAGUAUCCAAGAAUGGGAACAACAGAUGCCAUCUUGGUUAACCACAACUUUAGCAGCUGAUGAAUCUUUGUUAAUCACAAACACUUAAUAUCAAUAAAAUCCUUCCCUUUCGUAUAAAAAAAAA
Molecule: long non-coding RNA, 2108 nt
Organism: Papaver somniferum (opium poppy)
Lineage: Eukaryota; Viridiplantae; Streptophyta; Magnoliopsida; Ranunculales; Papaveraceae
Exons: 2
Source: RefSeq, a predicted model, not a curated record